AUGUAAACAUUUUGGAAACCUUAAUAUGUAUGGUGGUGUGUACUUUCCUUUCUAUGAACUGUUAUGAUACUGAAUAUGACGUCCUCCGCCCCUGAACGUUUCCGCCGUUCUGGUUUGGGUGUGUGAUAGAUUGGUAUCAGAGCAUUGUUUAUAGUGAACUAAGUAUAUCAAAACCAUUUUUGAUAUACAACUAUAAACACAACUGGGCAAAAACACUCUGAGUAAGAGUCAUACUUUUAAAAUUAAAUUUAUUUAGUUUUGUAAAGUAGGCAUGCAUUCAUUUCAUAUUAAUAACAUGGUCGGUAUCAUAACUAAAACAAUAUAGAAGUAUUAUAAAUAAGUUGCGCAGUGCAGGUAUGCCUUGGGACAUGUAAUCGGAACUGGGAAGAAUAUAGCCUGAUCAACUAUAUUUGUCCAAGAGCCGACUAACGUAUGCCAAGGAGUGUCUGCAAUGGACAACAAAUUUAAAACUUACCAAACUUAUAAACUUUAGAAUCAAACAUAACAUUUAGAAUACUAUAGGAAUAUUUUAUGAAUACGAUAGUUUAACGUUGAGGUCAACCUUGUGUGCCUUAGUUCUAGACAAUCCUUAUCUCCUUAUUCUCGUACAAACACAAUGGCUGGAUUUCCACCUAGCAGGAGACCCCUACUACCCAUACCAGUAGACCCUUUCACUUUAACCAUCGACUAACGAAACUCGAUCGAUUUAUCACGACAAACCCGACACUAAACCCAAUUGGUUUCAAGUUUCAAAACCCCGAGGUACUCAUGUGAGGAGUACUAUAUCUUUACAACCUUCCCGUAGUAUCCCCCAACAGAUCAUUUAGAAAUACCACACAUACAACGAGUCAAAUCCAAGCUCAGAAACUAGGAGUGAAUUCAACCAUGAACUUCAAAACGUAGCUGCCCUAAUGCAUCGAGUGAAUAUUCUAACAUUUAGAAGAACAUAAGUAAAUAAACCCAAAACCACACGAUCCCGAUCGGUCGAAGUGAUAGGCGGAGUAAUGAAGGUCCGCUGAAACACGCACAUUAGGAUCUAGAUUCAUAAAGGAACAAGAGGAACAAAUCGACCAGAAGCACUCUCGCCUGCCCGCAAGAAUUGGAGUCCCAGUCAAAAUGCGAAUUUCGGGACGAAAUUCUCUCUAACGGGGGGAUAAUGUAACAACAGCAAAAUUCAGGUCAAAAUUUAAACUUUUAUAAAACCGUAAUUGAGUAUACUAAGUGGUAAAUAUCGUAACAAGGUUUUCAUACAUAUAAAGAACACAAAAAUCCGAGUUAUAACGAGGAAGUUAUAACCAUUCUAAAAUUCCCGACAAAACCGGCAACACCGAUUAAACGAAAAACGCGAAGUUUAAUACAAUAGUUUUUAGCCUUAAGUAUCUAAAUAAAAGUUAUAGAUAACAUCAAACCGUGAGCGUACAUAAAAAGAACGUCCAAAUCUGACUUCGUAUGAGGAAGUUAUGAUUUUUCCAAGGUUCGGGUAUAGCAGUAGACAGCUAAAAACUCGAAAUAGAGCUCGAGAUACUUUUGACCAAAACAACCUAAAUGAGAAUCGAAGGUCUCAACAUUAGUAGCGCAACGGCGAAAAGUCUGACGAAAACGGACAUCGGAUGAAGAAGUUAUGGAAUUUUAACGGACUUUUCGUGUUCCGGCCCGUUAAAAAUAAAUAAUUAAAAAUAAAUUCAGAAUUUGCUGAUGAAGUCUAAACGAGAGUUGUAGAUCAUAUUUUUAGCUACGCGUGCAUAUAAAGAACGUCGAAAACGGAGCUCGUAUGCGAAAGUUAUGGAUUUUACAAGUUCGGGGUCCAAAAUCUGAGGCUGUCAGGCCCCCACGACGUGGCACAGCUUGGCCGCGACCCGGCAAGCGACUGAGGGCGUCCAAUCAACGGAAGGGGAUAGGGCUUGCUCCCCACGACGUGGCCAACCCUAGCCACGAUGUGGCACUCAAAAAUACCCCCUAUAAAUAGAACUCUUGGGGUGCCGGGUUUAGGUGCUCCAUUCUUCCCUCUCUCGUGAUGAAACUCUGCGGUUAAGCUACAGAAGCCCUCCCGAAGCCCCGGUUUUCACACUCAAGUUCCAAAGGAAGGUUCUACUCUCCCGAGAUUUCCGAGAUUCUCAAGAAUCCCGAGGAAAAUCGACUUUCACGAGCCGAAGUUCUGCUCCAUUUUCUUCUCGUUUUCCCCAAUCAAUCAAGUGAGUUCAUACCCCUAUAAUCUACACUUUCAAAUGUUUUGUAAAUGCUUUUAUACACUUUUAAGGGGGGGAAUACAAGUAAACACACGACUAAAAUCGUGUGAAACAUCGAUCUUUUGCUAUACUUUUCAUACUGUUGUUUUAACUAUCUUAUGAAGUCAUUAUCAUGCAAAAUACCUCACAACACAACUUUACCCUCUUGGGAUAAAAGAUGUUUAUAAAUAGAAAUAUGUUUUAUUUAUACGUAUACAUACAAAUACAUUAUAUCAAGGGUAACCAUCUUUGCUAAACCAUUUUAUGCAUUCAAAGAACUUAUGAUUUAUGCUUUGUUGGACAUUGUGAAAAAGGAUAAACUUUACAUACAAAACUACUACUUUAAUACAGACUUAGUUGAGAAUCCGUGAGACGUGUACAUCUUCAAAUACUACCUUUUGCUAAAAGGUAUCGCUACAAGUCCUGUCUAUAACCAGAGUCUCCCGUUCGGAGAACGUGUCAAAUGUGUAUAGAUCUAUACGGGAAGUCAUGAUCCCGCGCCCUGACUGUUAGCUACAGUCCGUCUUUUGGGGUGACAGUUGUCAUAACGCUACGACGCCUGAAGAACGUCGCUACAGGCAUAUUAUGUUUAGUAUGGUUAUAAAACUCACCGGAUAUACAAUUAUUAUGGUAUUAUGUUUUUAUGAAUGAGUAGCUAUUAAAACUAUUCUUCAUCUAACAAGUGCGAUCUUCGUAUAGCUUUAUUAUAUAAAACUAUGCCACAACUUUUAAGCACGUCGGUUGCUUGCGAUUUUCGGUCUUAGAGACUGCCAGUUAUGUUAGGAAAAUAAGGGUUUUUCCUGUAUACAAACCAAACAACUAUUAGGAAAAUAAGGGAUUUUCUUGGUUCAACUAGCUACAUUUUUCAACACAAAUACUCUCAUGCAUUUCAUACUUUUAUAAGAAAAUAAGGGAUUUUCUUGGAAAAAUAUACACUCAUUUUGGAAUGGCAUUCAAUGUUUCUAAAUCACUUAUGAACUCACCAACUUAAUUGUUGACACUUUUUCCUUGAAAUAACUUGUAUUCUCAGGGAACCGUUAAGCAGGUUUGGAAAUCAACUUUUGAGGAUUAACGUGCUGACGUUAAUUACUUCUUUUGAAAAAUGUUUAUGUAUUUAUCUGUUGAACAUGUAACGAAUACAAUUAUGUAAACAUUUUGGAAACCUUAAUAUGUAUGGUGGUGUGUACUUUCCUUUCUAUGAACUGUUAUGAUACUGAAUAUGACGUCCUCCGCCCCUGAACGUUUCCGCCGUUCUGGUUUGGGUGUGUGAUAGAUUGGUAUCAGAGCAUUGUUUAUAGUGAACUAAGUAUAUCAAAACCAUUUUUGAUAUACAACUAUAAACACAACUGGGCAAAAACACUCUGAGUAAGAGUCAUACUUUUAAAAUUAAAUUUAUUUAGUUUUGUAAAGUAGGCAUGCAUUCAUUUCAUAUUAAUAACAUGGUCAGUAUCAUAACUAAAACAAUAUAGAAGUAUUAUAAAUAAGUUGCGCAGUGCAGGUAUGCCUUGGGACAUGUAAUCGGAACUGGGAAGAAUAUAGCCUGAUCAACUAUAUUUGUCCAAGAGCCGACUAACGUAUGCCAAGGAGUGUCUGCAAUGGACAACAAAUUUAAAACUUACCAAACUUAUAAACUUUAGAAUCAAACAUAACAUUUAGAAUACUAUAGGAAUAUUUUAUGAAUACGAUAGUUUAACGUUGAGGUCAACCUUGUGUGCCUUAGUUCUAGACAAUCCUUAUCUCCUUAUUCUCGUACAAACACAAUGGCUGGAUUUCCACCUAGCAGGAGACCCC
RNAcentral lists this long non-coding RNA (4016 nucleotides) under Lactuca sativa (garden lettuce). RNAcentral describes it as "long non-coding RNA (LSAT_LNC001209)". The record is from RNAcentral. Lineage: Eukaryota; Viridiplantae; Streptophyta; Magnoliopsida; Asterales; Asteraceae.